Sinocyclocheilus grahami is the source of this 117-nucleotide ribosomal RNA. The record is from Ensembl. Lineage: Eukaryota; Metazoa; Chordata; Actinopteri; Cypriniformes; Cyprinidae.
UCCGCUGCUUCAAAUUAUCCUGCUUAGCUUCAUGGUUGCCCACUGAAGCUAAGCAGGGCUGAGCCUGGUCAGUACCUGAAUGGGAGACCUCCUGGGAAAACUAGGUUGCUGCUGGAA